GAUGAACGCUGGCGGCGUGCCUAAUACAUGCAAGUCGAGCGAACAGACGAGGAGCUUGCUCCUCUGACGUUAGCGGCUGACGGGUGAGUAACACGUGGAUAACCUACCUAUAAGACUGGGAUAACUUCGGGAAACCGGAGCUAAUACCGGAUAAUAUAUUGAACCGCAUGGUUCAAUAGUGAAAGACGGUUUUGCUGUCACUUAUAGAUGGAUCCGCGCCGCAUUAGCUAGUUGGUAAGGUAACGGCUUACCAAGGCGACGAUGCGUAGCCGACCUGAGAGGGUGAUCGGCCACACUGGAACUGAGACACGGUCCAGACUCCUACGGGAGGCAGCAGUAGGGAAUCUUCCGCAAUGGGCGAAAGCCUGACGGAGCAACGCCGCGUGAGUGAUGAAGGUCUUCGGAUCGUAAAACUCUGUUAUUAGGGAAGAAAAAAUGUGUAAGUAACUAUGCACGUCUUGACGGUACCUAAUCAGAAAGCCACGGCUAACUACGUG
RNAcentral lists this ribosomal RNA (497 nucleotides) under uncultured bacterium. RNAcentral's name for it is "partial 16S ribosomal RNA". It matches the Rfam family "Bacterial small subunit ribosomal RNA", at positions 28 to 507 of the family's 1533-position model. The record is from RNAcentral.